AGAGUUUGAUCCUGGCUCAGGACGAACGCUGGCGGCGUGCUUAACACAUGCAAGUCGAACGGAAAGGCCCUUCGGGGUACUCGAGUGGCGAACGGGUGAGUAACACGUGGGUGAUCUGCCCUGCACUUUGGGAUAAGCCUGGGAAACUGGGUCUAAUACCGAAUAUGACCAUGCACUUCCUGGUGUGUGGUGGAAAGCUUUUGCGGUGUGGGAUGGGCCCGCGGCCUAUCAGCUUGUUGGUGGGGUAAUGGCCUACCAAGGCGACGACGGGUAGCCGGCCUGAGAGGGUGACCGGCCACACUGGGACUGAGAUACGGCCCAGACUCCUACGGGAGGCAGCAGUGGGGAAUAUUGCACAAUGGGCGCAAGCCUGAUGCAGCGACGCCGCGUGAGGGAUGACGGCCUUCGGGUUGUAAACCUCUUUCAGCACAGACGAAGCGCAAGUGACGGUAUGUGCAGAAGAAGGACCGGCCAACUACGUGCCAGCAGCCGCGGUAAUACGUAGGGUCCGAGCGUUGUCCGGAAUUACUGGGCGUAAAGAGCUCGUAGGUGGUUUGUCGCGUUGUUCGUGAAAACUCACAGCUUAACUGUGGGCGUGCGGGCGAUACGGGCAGACUUGAGUACCGCAGGGGAGACUGGAAUUCCUGGUGUAGCGGUGGAAUGCGCAGAUAUCAGGAGGAACACCGGUGGCGAAGGCGGGUCUCUGGGCAGUAACUGACGCUGAGGAGCGAAAGCGUGGGGAGCGAACAGGAUUAGAUACCCUGGUAGUCC
This 771-nucleotide ribosomal RNA is filed under the name uncultured bacterium. Its description in RNAcentral is "bacterial SSU rRNA". It matches the Rfam family "Bacterial small subunit ribosomal RNA", at positions 8 to 796 of the family's 1533-position model. The record is from RNAcentral.